This 788-nucleotide ribosomal RNA is filed under the name uncultured Lactobacillus sp. RNAcentral's name for it is "bacterial SSU rRNA". It matches the Rfam family "Bacterial small subunit ribosomal RNA", at positions 28 to 776 of the family's 1533-position model. Lineage: Bacteria; Bacillati; Bacillota; Bacilli; Lactobacillales; Lactobacillaceae. The record is from RNAcentral.
GACGAACGCUGGCGGCGUGCCUAAUACAUGCAAGUCGAGCGAGCUUGCCUAGAUGAAUUUGGUGCUUGCACCAAAUGAAACUAGAUACAAGCGAGCGGCGGACGGGUGAGUAACACGUGGGUGACCUGCCCAAGAGACUGGGAUAACACCUGGAAACAGAUGCUAAUACCGGAUAACAACACUAGACGCAUGUCUAGAGUUUAAAAGAUGGUUCUGCUAUCACUCUUGGAUGGACCUGCGGUGCAUUAGCUAGUUGGUAAGGUAACGGCUUACCAAGGCAAUGAUGCAUAGCCGAGUUGAGAGACUGAUCGGCCACAUUGGGACUGAGACACGGCCCAAACUCCUACGGGAGGCAGCAGUAGGGAAUCUUCCACAAUGGACGCAAGUCUGAUGGAGCAACGCCGCGUGAGUGAAGAAGGGUUUCGGCUCGUAAAGCUCUGUUGGCAGUGAAGAAAGAUAGAGGUAGUAACUGGCCUUUAUUUGACGGUAAUUACUUAGAAAGUCACGACUAACUACGUGCCAGCAGCCGCGGUAAUACGUAGGUGGCAAGCGUUGUCCGGAUUUAUUGGGCGUAAAGCGAGUGCAGGCGGCUCAAUAGGUCUGAUGUGAAAGCCUUCGGCUCAACCGGAGAAUUGCAUCAGAAACUGUUGAACUUGAGUGCAGAAGAGGAGAGUGGAACUCCAUGUGUAGCGGUGGAAUGCGUAGAUAUAUGGAAGAACACCAGUGGCGAAGGCGGCUCUCUGGUCUGCAACUGACGCUGAGGCUCGAAAGCAUGGGUAGCGAACAGG